GAGUUUGAUCAUGGCUCAGGAUAAACGCUGGCGGCGCACAUAAGACAUGCAAGUCGAACGGACUUAACCUUUAGUUACUAAUGGAGCGGUUAGUGGCGGACUGGUGAGUAACGCGUAAGCAAUCUGCCUAUCAGAGGGGAAUAACAGUGAGAAAUCAUUGCUAAUACCGCAUAAGCUUUGAAUAUCGCAUGAUAUAAAAGAAAGGAGCAAUCCGCUGAUAGAUGAGCUUGCGUCUGAUUAGUUAGUUGGUGAGGUAACGGCCCACCAAGACGAUGAUCAGUAGCCGGACUGAGAGGUUGAACGGCCACAUUGGGACUGAGAUACGGCCCAGACUCCUACGGGAGGCAGCAGUCGGGAAUAUUGCGCAAUGGAGGAAACUCUGACGCAGUGACGCCGCGUGC
RNAcentral lists this ribosomal RNA (401 nucleotides) under uncultured bacterium. RNAcentral's name for it is "bacterial SSU rRNA". It matches the Rfam family "Bacterial small subunit ribosomal RNA", at positions 9 to 404 of the family's 1533-position model. The record is from RNAcentral.